CCAAUAGCGUAUAUUAAAGUUGUUGCAGUUAAAAAGCUCGUAGUUGAAUUUCGGGGUUAGUAGAUUGGUCGUGCCACUGGUAUGCACUGGUCUUACUGAUUCCUCCUUCCUGAUGAACCGUAAUGCCAUUAAUUUGGUGUUGCGGGGAGACUGGACUGUUACUUUGAAAAAAUUAGAGUGUUUAAAGCAAGCUAACGCUUGAAUACAUUAGCAUGGAAUAAUUAAAUAGGACGAUCGAUCCUAUUUUGUUGGUUUCUAGGAUUGACGUAAUGAUUAAUAGGGAUAGUUGGGGGCAUUAGUAUUCAAUUGUCAGAGGUGAAAUUCUUGGAUUUAUUGAAGACUAACUACUGCGAAAGCAUUUGCCAAGGAUGUUUUCAUUAAUCAAGAACGAAAGUUAGGGGAUCGAAGACGAUCAGAUACCGUCGUAGUCUUAACCAUAAACUAUGCCGACUAGGGAUCGGAUGAUGUUAAUUUUAUAAUGACUCAUUCGGCGCCUUACG
RNAcentral lists this ribosomal RNA (500 nucleotides) under uncultured Glomeromycotina. RNAcentral's name for it is "partial small subunit ribosomal RNA". It matches the Rfam family "Eukaryotic small subunit ribosomal RNA", at positions 591 to 1092 of the family's 1831-position model. The record is from RNAcentral. Lineage: Eukaryota; Fungi; Glomeromycota.